Podarcis lilfordi (Lilford's wall lizard) is the source of this 78-nucleotide non-coding RNA. The record is from the annotation of a GenBank genome assembly. Lineage: Eukaryota; Metazoa; Chordata; Lepidosauria; Squamata; Lacertidae.
GGAGUGACUGUAGCUCAGUGGUAGAGCACAUGCCCUGCAUGCAGAAGGUCCCAGAUUCAUCAAUCCCUGGCACAUCCA